AGCGGAGGAAAAGAAACUAACAAGGAUUCCCCUAGUAACGGCGAGUGAAGCGGGAAGAGCUCAAAUUUGAAAUCUGGCGUCCUCUGGGCGUCCGAGUUGUAAUCUGGAGAGGCGUUGUCCGCGACGGACCCCGUACAAGUCCUUUGGGAUGAGGCGUCAUAGAGGGUGAGAAUCCCGUAUAUGACGGGGACUACCGUUGCUUUGUGUCGCGCCCUCGAAGAGUCGAGUUGUUUGGGAAUGCAGCUCAAAAUGGGUGGUAAAUUCCAUCUAAAGCUAAAUACAGGCGAGAGACCGAUAGCGAACAAGUACCGUGAGGGAAAGAUGAAAAGAACUUUGGAAAGAGAGUUAAACAGUACGUGAAAUUGCUGAAAGGGAAACGCUUGAAGUCAGUCGUCUCGGCGAGGACUCAGCCUGACCUUGUGUUAGGUGUACUUCCUCUGUCGAGGGGUCAGCAUCAGUUUUGGGCGUCGAAGAAGGACCUGAGGAAUGUGGCACCUUCGGGUGUGUUAUAGCCUCGAGUCGGACGCGGCGCCUGGGACUGAGGACCG
RNAcentral lists this ribosomal RNA (548 nucleotides) under Basidiodendron eyrei. RNAcentral describes it as "eukaryotic LSU rRNA". It matches the Rfam family "Eukaryotic large subunit ribosomal RNA", at positions 49 to 595 of the family's 3401-position model. The record is from RNAcentral. Lineage: Eukaryota; Fungi; Basidiomycota; Agaricomycetes; Auriculariales; Exidiaceae.